This 866-nucleotide ribosomal RNA is filed under the name Trechispora patawaensis. RNAcentral describes it as "Trechispora sp. VP-2021a partial large subunit ribosomal RNA". It matches the Rfam family "Eukaryotic large subunit ribosomal RNA", at positions 55 to 940 of the family's 3401-position model. The record is from RNAcentral. Lineage: Eukaryota; Fungi; Basidiomycota; Agaricomycetes; Trechisporales; Hydnodontaceae.
GGAGAAAGAACUAACAAGGAUUCCCCUAGUAACUGCGAGUGAAGCGGGAAAAGCUCAAAUUUGAAAUCUGGCAGCUCCGCUGUCCGAGUUGUAUUCUGGAGAAGCGUCUUCCGUGCCGGACCGUGUACAAGUCCCUUGGAACAGGGCGUCGUAGAGGGUGAGAAUCCCGUCUUUGACACGGACCCCCGGUGCCAUGUGAUGCGCUCUCGAAGAGUCGAGUUGUUUGGGAAUGCAGCUCAAAACGGGUGGUAAAUUCCAUCUAAAGCUAAAUAUUGGCGAGAGACCGAUAGCGAACAAGUACCGUGAGGGAAAGAUGAAAAGCACUUUGGAAAGAGAGUAAAACAGUACGUGAAAUUGUUGAAAGGGAAACGCUUGAAGUCAGUCGCGUCUGUCGGAACUCAGCCUUGCUUCUGCUUGGUGCACUUUCCGGCUCGACGGGCCAGCAUCGGUUUUGGGCGGCGGACACUGGCGAGGGGAAGGUGGCAGCUCCGGCUGUGUUAUAGCCCCCCGUCGCAAACGUCGUCCGGGACCGAGGAAUCCGGCGCAAGCCUGGGAUGCUGGCGUAAUGGCUUUAAACGACCCGUCUUGAAACACGGACCAAGGAGUGCUACGUUCUCGCGAGUGUUUGGGUGGAAAACCCAGACGCGCAAUGAAAGUGAAAGUCGAUACCCCUCACGGGGGCACCGACGCCCGAGCCUGAUGUUUUCGGAAGGCCUUGCGGUAGAGCGAGUGCGUUGCGACCCGAAAGAUGGUGAACUAUUCCUGAGGAGGGCGAAGCCAGAGGAAACUCUGGUGGAGGCUCGUAGCGGUUCUGACGUGCAAAUCGAUCGCAGGACUUGGGUAUAGGGGCGAAAGACUAAUCGAAC